AAAUACAGUGAAACUGCAAAUGGCUCAUUACAACAGUUAUAGUUUAUUUGAUAAUAAAAGUUUACAUGGAUAACCGUAGUAAUUCUAGAGCUAAUACAUGAGCAAAAUCUCAACUAAAUUAGAAGAGAUGCAUUUAUUAGAUAAAAAGCCAAUGCAUACUUUUAUAGUAUGGAGAUUGGUGAUUUACAAUAACUUAGCAAAUCGCACAAUGAAAAUUGGCGAUAAAUCAUUCAAGUUUCUGACCUAUCAGCUUUCGACGGUAGGGUAUUGGCUUACCGUGGCAGUGACGGUUAACGGGGGAUUAGGGUUCGAUUCCGGAGAGGGAGCCUGAGAAACGGCUACCACAUCUAAGGAAGGCAGCAGGCGCGCAAAUUACCCAAUCCUAACAGCACAAGGGAGGUAGUGACAAGAAAUAACAAUACAAGGCAAUUAAAAUGUUUUGUAAUUGGAAUGAUAGAAAUUUAAACACUUUCUAGAGUAUCAAUUGGAGGGCAAGUCUGGUGCCAGCAGCCGCGGUAAUUCCAGCUUCAAUAGCGUAUAUUAAAGUUGUUGCAGUUAAAAAGCUCGUAGUUGGAUUUCUGUUAAAAAUAACUGGUCUGCUUUUAAUUAAAGUGGUACCUUGGUGUGUUUUUAGCAUUAAUGUCCUAUGAAGUGUUUUUUACUUUAUUGUUAAAAGCAAUAUUCAGGAUUUUUACUUUGAGAAAAUUAGAGUGUUUCAAGCAGGCUAACGUUUUGAAUACUGCAGCAUGGAAUAAUAAAAUAGGAUUUUGGUUCUACAUUAUUGGUUUUAAGAACUAAAUUAAUGAUUAAUAGGGAC
Molecule: ribosomal RNA, 817 nt
Filed under: Haemogregarina sp.
Lineage: Eukaryota; Apicomplexa; Haemogregarinidae
Description: SSU rRNA
Rfam family: Eukaryotic small subunit ribosomal RNA
Source: RNAcentral